RNAcentral lists this long non-coding RNA (1054 nucleotides) under Olea europaea (common olive). Its description in RNAcentral is "long non-coding RNA (OEUR_LNC008422)". The record is from RNAcentral. Lineage: Eukaryota; Viridiplantae; Streptophyta; Magnoliopsida; Lamiales; Oleaceae.
GACUCUUUUGAGUGUCUAUUUUAAAAUUGUUGAAAAUACGUUCUUUUUGUCAUUUUGAAAAAAUAUUUCUUAAAACAUAAAAUUAAAAACGCGUUAACAUUUUUGUCAUUCUUUUUGUCUUCUGCCAUGGGUGAUUUUCGCCCCCUCCAUGAGCUGCCGUUUUCUACCUCACAAACUGAUCACCACCCACCACCUAGAUCACCAAAUCCCAGUAUCACUCGAACCCCCUCACCUUCCUCUACAACAUCCGACGAUUAUUUGACUAAGAACCUGUUGGAAACAACCCCAACAAACCACGCUACUAUUCAUAGUUUCGACCUAAUUAACACCGCCACCAGCUACCUUUCUGAUCGUGGACCACCACAAAUUCACUCUCAACAAGGAGCAUUCAAUACUACCAUGGGUCAUCUUCAAUUAUGUUCAGAAUCGAUUGAUCUUAUGGAAGCCGUCUGUGAGUUUUGAAGACAUGGCUGGAGUCAUCUGGGGGUGGGCAAUCAACUGCUGGUAGUGCGUGACCUUUGGUGUCACUGGAGGUGGAGAUUCCGACAAAAGCAGUUUGCACGAGAUCAGAUUUUGAGGAUGAUUUUUGAUCGAUUUUGAUAUAUGUUUGGGUUGUUGUUUGUAUAGUAAUUGAAGAGGGGAUUGAGGGCUUCACAAUGGUACGUAAAUCCGAUGGUUUUUGAGGAGGUUGGUCGAAGUUUAGAGGGUUGGAAAGUGGCAGCUCCAUUGUUUUAGUAGAAGAAAGCUGGGGAAAUGGAAAUGGUUGUCUUCUGUGUUUUCAUUCCAGGCGUGUGUUUGUCUUGAAAAUACGCAAAACAUCUUUUUGAUGUUUUGAGUUUUCAAGCCUUUUUUUUUUUCCAAAAAUUUAUUUUUGAAAAGGAGAAAGAAAAUGUGUUUUCACUACUUUGAAAAAUAAAAAAUAGAAAAUGGGAUGAAAACAGUAAAGAGAACAGCCUACGUAAAUCCGAUGGUUUUUGAGGAGGUUGGUCGAAGUUUAGAGGGUUGGAAAGUGGCAGCUCCAUUGUUUUAGUAGAAGAAAGCUGGGGAAAUGGAA